Molecule: transfer RNA, 70 nt
Filed under: Scaphiopus couchii (Couch's spadefoot toad)
Lineage: Eukaryota; Metazoa; Chordata; Amphibia; Anura; Pelobatidae
Description: tRNA-Tyr
Rfam family: tRNA
About the family: Transfer RNA (tRNA) molecules are approximately 80 nucleotides in length.
Source: RNAcentral
GGUAAGAUGGCCGAGGGUUAGGCGGCAGGUUGUAGCCCUGAUUACAAAGGUUUAAGUCCUUUUCUUACCA